GUACCGCUCUUAGAGGAAGAUCAACAGAAGACAGCUUCAGAAUUGAGAGAUCCAGACCUUUUAUGGUAUUUUCAGGCCUGGGCCCCCUGAGAACUGCACUUUCCAGAGCCCCAAAAUGAUAGCCACGCCCCCAGAAGGGUUAAAGUUGGCAUUUGGUAGGCCUGAGGGACCGUAGUUGAAACUAACUCCUAAAUCAGAAUUACAGGGUUGAAAUAACAGCCAAAGCUCUGCUCCCAUCCACCCUAAGCACUAGAAUUUAAAGCGUUUGGAGUAGUUUCUAAUCACGGCCGGCCUAGCUUGUUGACCCACGUGGAAAGGACUCUUCUGCGUAAUCCAAUUCAAAUUGCUAACAACGGUGUUUUGAACUGGGUAAACUGAUUGGUUUUGAUGAAACAAAGGGAAUACAGCUUUCAGAUCGCAAAAAGGAAAAACAGAAGACAACAUGACACACCUGACUGAGCCAUACUACUGCUGGCAACUUGAGGCUUCAGAUCAGCUUCUAGGAGAGCAGGAGAAACAGUUACCACUGGUCCUGAGAACAAGGGACCUUUUAAGCUCAUCUUUAAUUAAAACUGGAACACUAUCAUUGGCCAAGAGAAGACAUUCAAUCCACUUCAUUGAUCUUCAUCUACAUUAAGGAAAGCAAAGAAUGUCCCUCCUACCUGUGGCCUGGUCUCUUUUUCUGGAAAGGAUUAAAGGUUUCCCCCUCCUGUUAUUAAUAAAC
Long non-coding RNA from Heterocephalus glaber (naked mole-rat), 724 nucleotides. RefSeq lists it as uncharacterized. NCBI's taxonomy places the organism in Eukaryota, Metazoa, Chordata, Mammalia, Rodentia, Bathyergidae. The record is from RefSeq and is a predicted model, not a curated record.